CGUUUAGGACUGCGGAGGGAUCAUUACACAAUAAAAUAUGAAGGCCUGGCUUCGCGGCCGGCUGAAAUAUUUUUUCACCCAUGUCUUUUGCGCACUUGUUGUUUCCUGGGCGGGUUCGCCCGCCACCAGGACCAAACCAUAAACCUUUUUCUUAUGCAGUUUCCAUCAGCGUCAGUAAAAACAAUGUAAUAAUUACAACUUUCAACAACGGAUCUCUUGGUUCUGGCAUCGAUGAAGAACGCAGCGAAAUGCGAUACGUAGUGUGAAUUGCAGAAUUCAGUGAAUCAUCGAAUCUUUGAACGCACAUUGCGCCCUUUGGUAUUCCAAAGGGCAUGCCUGUUCGAGCGUCAUUUGUACCUUCAAGCUUUGCUUGGUGUUGGGCGUUUUUGUCUCCCUCUUUCUGGGAGACUCGCCUUAAAACGAUUGGCAGCCGGCCUACUGGUUUCGGAGCGCAGCACAUUUUUUGCGCUUUGUAUCAGGAGAAAAGGACGGUACUCCAUCAAGACUUUUACAAUUUUAACUUUUGACCUCGGAUCAGGUAGGGAUACCCGCUGAACUUAAGCAUAUCAUA
RNAcentral lists this ribosomal RNA (571 nucleotides) under Bipolaris cynodontis. RNAcentral describes it as "eukaryotic LSU rRNA". The stretch from base 197 to 350 matches the Rfam family "5.8S ribosomal RNA". The record is from RNAcentral. Lineage: Eukaryota; Fungi; Ascomycota; Dothideomycetes; Pleosporales; Pleosporaceae.